This 32-nucleotide non-coding RNA is filed under the name Mus musculus (house mouse). Lineage: Eukaryota; Metazoa; Chordata; Mammalia; Rodentia; Muridae. The record is from RNAcentral.
UAAGAUGGAGGAGUCUGAUCCGAGAUGCCUUU